RNAcentral lists this ribosomal RNA (566 nucleotides) under uncultured bacterium. RNAcentral's name for it is "partial 16S ribosomal RNA". It matches the Rfam family "Bacterial small subunit ribosomal RNA", at positions 355 to 912 of the family's 1533-position model. The record is from RNAcentral.
UGGGGAAUUUUGGACAAUGGGCGAAAGCCUGAUCCAGCAAUGCCGCGUGUGUGAAGAAGGCCUUCGGGUUGUAAAGCACUUUUGUCCGGAAAGAAAUCCUUGGCUCUAAUACAGUCGGGGGGAUGACGGUACCGGAAGAAUAAGCACCGGCUAACUACGUGCCAGCAGCCGCGGUAAUACGUAGGGUGCAAGCGUUAAUCGGAAUUACUGGGCGUAAAGCGUGCGCAGGCGGUUUGCUAAGACCGAUGUGAGAUCCCCGGGCUCAACCUGGGAACUGCAUUGGUGACUGGCAGGCUAGAGUAUGGCAGAGGGGGGUAGAAUUCCACGUGUAGCAGUGAAAUGCGUAGAGAUGUGGAGGAAUACCGAUGGCGAAGGCAGCCCCCUGGGCCAAUACUGACGCUCAUGCACGAAAGCGUGGGGAGCAAACAGGAUUAGAUACCCUGGUAGUCCACGCCCCUAAACGAUGUCAACUAGUUGUUGGGGAUUCAUUUCCUUAGUAACGUAGCUAACGCGUGAAGUUGACCGCCUGGGGAGUACGGUCGCAAGAUUAAAACUCAAAGGAAUUG